Molecule: long non-coding RNA, 343 nt
Filed under: Trifolium pratense (red clover)
Lineage: Eukaryota; Viridiplantae; Streptophyta; Magnoliopsida; Fabales; Fabaceae
Description: long non-coding RNA (TPRA_LNC012132)
Source: RNAcentral
UAUUAUUAAAUUAUUUAUUAAUUAUAUUUGAAGGGAUAUCAAAAUAAAUAAAAAAAUAUCUUUUUUAUUUGCAACAAUUGGAAAACGUAGUCUUUUGUUAAAAAUAACGCAACCUUUGAAAAUUGUUCCCUCAUAUGGCUAAGGCGACAUUUAAUAGCUAUUGCCUAAAAAGUUCCCUAGUUACAGUUGAAAAUUGUCCCCUAUUAUAUUUUAGGGAACAGUUUUAUGGUGUGGCAAAAAAACACCCAGUAACAUGCAUAAAUUGUCGCCUAUACUAUUUUUAGGCAACAAUUGUCAUGGGUUGCGUAAAAUAGUGUUGCCAGAGACUACAAAUGUUGUAGUG